AUGAGACUGCAAUUUUUACCCUAUCAUAUGUAUACGGAAUCUGUCCAUUAUGUUAUCAAGAAACGACGGACGUUAGGUGUUCUAGCUGUAAUGUUGGCCAUUGUCCGGUGGCGUCGUCGACGUAGACAUUACAGUCUUAGAAUGUCUCGAAGAAAGUAUGGGCCAUUGGUUGAUAGAGAUCUGGAGAGGCAAAAAAAGUUGAAUGACCUGUACAAUUCAACCGAUAAAAAUUGCAUCAGUCAACUCCGGACGACGGGGCCGCUACGCAGUGGGUUUGAUGAUGUGAACAAACAAGUGAUGCUCUCCCAAUCUACUCUAGAUGGCUUAUCGGCCAAUGAUCGUGGAAUUCUCUCUAAACCGAUUCAGUUCUACGACAAGUUGAAGGAAUUAUUUAGUGGCUCGUCGGCAGAUGGCUCUUUUAUGCAAGACCCUUUCUCUGCAGCUGAAACUGACAAUGAUGAUAAGGUAAAAGAUGACAUGAUGAAUGAUAUGUCCACCUUUGUUGAAGCGAAGGGUCCAACAGGUCAUGACUCGGAUAAAUUAGAUACAAAUAGUGAUGAUUGUGAAGCGGUGGCUGCUCUUGCUGCAACUGAUAGUCAAGUUUCCUCGUCCAAUGUUGCGGCUCUAAAGCCUAACAAGAAAAGUUUCAAAAAAAGUGCAAAGCCAAAUACUCUGCCACCACCACAAAAUGAUAAAGCUAAAAGGUCAAAGCCAAGAUCAUCUCAAGCAUCACAAGAUGACACUAAUAUGGAUGUGCUGCUCACAAGUACUUUGAUGGGCAUACGAGAAACCCUUGCAAGUCCAGUACAGACGGUAGCCCCAAAGGAACCGAAUGCUCCUUUAUGGGACAUGCUCAAGAAGAUUCCGUUGCCACCUGAUGAGAGGAUGUCGGUCGGGAUGCAUCUAUGCAAGCCAGAAUUUGCAGUCCAUCGAGGUUUUCUUGUCAGCAUGGGUCAAGAAUACCUAGAGCGUUGGGUGUAUACAUACUUAUCUGACAAUUAUCCUGCUGGCAAACGUGUCGGCGAUGAUCUUGUUGGUAACCUUGGAAACAAAGAUCCUGCUAGUAACCUUGGCGAUGAUCCUGUUGUUAACUCUACCCCUUUCUGA
This 1107-nucleotide ribosomal RNA is filed under the name Triticum aestivum (bread wheat). Its description in RNAcentral is "partial small subunit ribosomal RNA". The record is from RNAcentral. Lineage: Eukaryota; Viridiplantae; Streptophyta; Magnoliopsida; Poales; Poaceae.